RNAcentral lists this small RNA (173 nucleotides) under Paenibacillus sp. RNAcentral's name for it is "c-di-AMP sequence". It matches the Rfam family "c-di-AMP riboswitch aptamer (ydaO/yuaA leader)". From Rfam's summary of the family: This family represents a conserved RNA structure found upstream of the ydaO and yuaA genes in Bacillus subtilis and related genes in other bacteria. The ydaO/yuaA element is thought to act as a genetic "off" switch for the ydaO and yuaA genes in its native state. It is believed that the element may be triggered during osmotic shock leading to activation of ydaO, a predicted amino acid transporter gene, and members of the yuaA-yubG operon which code for KtrA and KtrB K+ transporters. The record is from RNAcentral. Lineage: Bacteria; Bacillati; Bacillota; Bacilli; Caryophanales; Paenibacillaceae.
ACACGUUAUACGCCGAGCUCCCGACAGACCGGGAGACGGGGGAACCAAAGUCACCAGUCUUCGAUUGGUGAAUGGGGUGAAUCCGCUGCGCCUAGGAUCGAAGGGCCCAGUGGUAGGGUGCUCUCAGUCCGAAUCCGUCAGCUAACCUCGUAGGCGCGUUGUUGAGAGAGAAU